This 63-nucleotide transfer RNA is filed under the name Pyrops spinolae. RNAcentral describes it as "tRNA-Tyr". The record is from RNAcentral. Lineage: Eukaryota; Metazoa; Arthropoda; Insecta; Hemiptera; Fulgoridae.
AAUGGGAUGGCUGAUUUAGGCGGUAAGUUGUAAAUUUAUUUAAGGAUUUAAUUCCUCUCAUUA